Molecule: RNA transcript, 876 nt
Organism: Camelus dromedarius (Arabian camel)
Lineage: Eukaryota; Metazoa; Chordata; Mammalia; Artiodactyla; Camelidae
Exons: 4
Source: RefSeq, a predicted model, not a curated record
UAAAAUCCAUGCUGGGGAGGUGGGAGCUCACAGCUCUGUCCUCACACAGGGCUGAGGUCUCUGGGGAAGGCAGGGCUGUGGUCUAGAGGAAGAUGAGACUGUUGGGUCUUCUCCUGUGCCUGGUGGCAGGUCCCCAAGGUGUCCUGUCCCAGGUGCAGCAGCAGGAGUCGGGCCCAGGCCUGGUGAAGCCCUCGCAGACGCUCCCCCUCACCUGCACUGUCUCUGGUGGCUCCAUCACAACCAGCUAUUAUGCUUGAAGCUGGAUCCGCCAGCCCCCAGGGAAGGGGCUGGAGUGGAUGGGAGCCAUAGCUCACACCAUGGAGCUGGGGAUGAGCUGGGUGGUCCUGGCUGCUCUUCUACAAGGUGUCCAGGCUGAGGUGCAGCUGGUGGAGUCUGGGGGAGGCUUGGUGCAGCCUGGGGGGUCUCUGAGACUCUCCUGUGCAGCCUCUGGAUUCACCUUCAGUAGCUACUGGAUGUACUGGGUCCGCCAGGCUCCAGGGAAGGGGCUCGAGUGGGUCUCAGCUAUUAAUAGUGGUGGUGGUAGCACAUACUAUGCAGACUCCGUGAAGGGCCGAUUCACCAUCUCCCAAGACAACGCCAAGAACACGCGGUAUCUGCAAAUGAACAGCCUGAAACCUGAGGACACGGCCCUGUAUUACUGUGUGAGAGACACAGUGAGGGGAAGUCGAUGUGAGCCCAGAUGCAAACCUCCCUGCAGGGACACAGGGUGGGUGCAGGGGGCUCACAUGACCCACCAGGGGGCGCACCUGAUCCACCAGGUGGUGCUCAGGGUCCACUUGCUGUGUUCAGGGUCAGCCCAAUGAGCAGGUGCAUGGGGCGGUGAUUGUCUCUUCUCAUUAAAAAAACAUAUUCUGG